CCACAGUUCUGGUGGAAGAGCCACCACCUGGUCUGGUUCCUGGUGUCUCCAUUCGAGGCCUGAAGAAGCAUUUUCGUGGCUCUCCACAGCCAGCCCUGCGAGGGCUCAACCUUGACUUCUAUGAAGGCCACAUCACUGCCUUUUUGGGUCACAACGGGGCUGGCAAGACAACCACACUGUCCAUCUUGAGUGGUCUCUUCCCACCCAGUAGUGGCUCGGCCUCCAUCCUGGGCCAUGACGUGCAAACCAACAUGGC
Molecule: long non-coding RNA, 256 nt
Filed under: Rattus norvegicus (Norway rat)
Lineage: Eukaryota; Metazoa; Chordata; Mammalia; Rodentia; Muridae
Description: long non-coding RNA NONRATT026543
Source: RNAcentral